Molecule: long non-coding RNA, 542 nt
Filed under: Rattus norvegicus (Norway rat)
Lineage: Eukaryota; Metazoa; Chordata; Mammalia; Rodentia; Muridae
Description: long non-coding RNA NONRATT022349
Source: RNAcentral
ACCUGGGGAGUCUAGAAGCCUCGGCUUCUCCUAUCCUCGGCCACUUAUCUUGCUUGGCUUUUAGCCAAAGCUUCUUUCAACACAUGAUAAGCAUUGGUCCCACAUGGCUCAGAGCCCACCCCAAGAGCAAGAGAACCAAUUCUCCUCAAAAGAAAGAAAGAGAGAGAGAGAGAGAGAGAAAGAAAGAAAGAAAGAAAGAAAGAAAGAAAGAAAGGAAGGAAGGAAGAAGAAAAGAAAGAGAGAAAGAAAAGAUCCCCUGGGAAAUGCACUUUCCUGCACUAUCUAUGUGGCCUGAAGAGAAAGGAAAGACUGUCUUCCUGGAUUGGAGUUCCCAAGAGUGAGCAGAUGUACUCCUGUUGAUCCCCGAGUUCUCUUUCCGGUAGCUGUUCCACAUCUGUUAAGUGUCAACAUGUCACUCCCUUGCCUCGUUCACGUUUUAAUCACUUUUUAUUAUUUUAAGAUGUUCCGAAGAGUCAGAAAUGGAGCCUACUUUGCAACUUUUGGAAGCUUUCCCGAGCCAAUAAACAUGUGGUUCGCUUUAA